ACUGGAUGAUGGACGAGGUCGCGUUGGCGACGAUCGGCGGCAGCCCGCCAAGCGUCAUCGCUCCGAAAGUCAGGAAGGUGCCGCCACCGGCAAUGGCAUUGACGACGCCGGACAGGAAGCCGGCGACGAAGAGCAAAAAGACCUGGAGCAACGUCAUGGCUUUCCCCCGAAACACGUGAAUCGGGAUAGCCGGUGGCGCGGUCGACCGCAAGUCCGU
This 217-nucleotide small RNA is filed under the name Sinorhizobium meliloti 2011. RNAcentral's name for it is "putative ncRNA". Lineage: Bacteria; Pseudomonadati; Pseudomonadota; Alphaproteobacteria; Hyphomicrobiales; Rhizobiaceae. The record is from RNAcentral.